AACGAACGCUGGCGGCAUGCCUAACACAUGCAAGUCGAACGAAGUCUUCGGACUUAGUGGCGCACGGGUGCGUAACGCGUGGGAAUCUGCCCUUGGGUGCGGAAUAACUUCUCGAAAGGGAUGCUAAUACCGCAUAUUGUCGUAAGACCAAAGAUUUAUCGCCCAAGGAUGAGCCCGCGUAAGAUUAGCUAGUUGGUGGGGUAAAAGCCUACCAAGGCGACGAUCUUUAGCUGGUCUGAGAGGAUGAUCAGCCACACUGGGACUGAGACACGGCCCAGACUCCUACGGGAGGCAGCAGUGGGGAAUAUUGGACAAUGGGCGAAAGCCUGAUCCAGCAAUGCCGCGUGAGUGAUGAAGGCCUUAGGGUUGUAAAGCUCUUUACCCGAGAUGAUAAUGACAGUAUCGGGAGAAUAAGCUCCGGCUAACUCCGUGCCAGCAGCCGCGGUAAU
This 449-nucleotide ribosomal RNA is filed under the name uncultured bacterium. RNAcentral describes it as "bacterial SSU rRNA". It matches the Rfam family "Bacterial small subunit ribosomal RNA", at positions 29 to 524 of the family's 1533-position model. The record is from RNAcentral.